Molecule: ribosomal RNA, 279 nt
Filed under: uncultured bacterium
Lineage: Bacteria
Description: partial 16S ribosomal RNA
Rfam family: Bacterial small subunit ribosomal RNA
Source: RNAcentral
UGCCAGCAGCCGCGGUAAUACAGAGGUGGCAAGCGUUGUUCGGAUUUAUUGGGCGUAAAGAGUUCGUAGGCGGCCCGGAAAGUCGGAUGUGAAAUCCUACAGCUUAACUGUGGAACUGCAUUCGAAACUCUCGGGCUAGUGUAUGAGAGGGGUAAAGGGAAUUCCAGGUGUAAGGGUGAAAUCUGCAGAGAUCUGGAAGAACACCAGUCGCGAAGGCGCUUUACUGGCUCAUUACAGACGCUGAGGGACGAAAGCUAGGGUAGCGAACGGGAUUAGAUA